AGGUCAGAAAAGAACCAAACUUCACCUCCUCCGUAUGCUGCAUUAAGACAGCCCGCAAGAGUAACCUGUGAGGGGAAGGAAGGAAAGCAGCAGGAGCCAGAGGCAAAAACAAGGAGCAAGGAGAGCCCUUGAAAGGAGGGGGGAGACACAGAGGCCAAGAGUGGUGACAAAGAACAAGCACUCCCCAACCAGGAACACACCUGUGAGUCUGUCCACCCUGGAUCCCAGGCAAGGAGCUGGAGCACCAAGACGAAGUUGAAGAAAUCAUGAGCAAUCUCUUCUUCACAUCGGGAGAUGGCAAAUCCAAGGCAUGGAGCAGUACAGAGCACGUACAUGGCACACAACUGCGUAAGCACUCCUAAGAUGAAGACAUCAAAGACCUCCACCUCCCCGAGGCCUCCCUCUCACUGCUUCCCGUCAGUCUCCCUGCAGAGGCCCUGCUGCUCUGCUUUCCAUCACCCUGAAGUCAUUCUGGCUGCCUCCGAACUUCCUAAAGGUGAAAAUCGUACAUACUCUUCCGUGUCUGGCUUCUUUCAAAAGAUUUGUCUGUGAGACUCAGCCAUGCUUUUAAAUGCAGCAGUCUUCUGUUCGUUUUCUCUGCUGGGUAGUAUUCCAUUGUAUGGACAUACCAUCCUUAC
Molecule: long non-coding RNA, 638 nt
Organism: Mustela erminea (ermine)
Lineage: Eukaryota; Metazoa; Chordata; Mammalia; Carnivora; Mustelidae
Exons: 4
Source: RefSeq, a predicted model, not a curated record